UACGUAGGGUCCGAGCGUUGUCCGGAAUUAUUGGGCGUAAAGGGCGCGUAGGCGGCCGAAUAAGUCUGACGUGAAAUCCCACGGCCCAACCGUGGAACUGCGUUUGAUACUGUUCGGCUCGAGUCCGGGAGAGGGUAGCGGAAUUCCCAGUGUAGCGGUGAAAUGCGUAGAUAUUGGGAGGAACACCGGUGGCGAAGGCGGCUACCUGGACCGGUACUGACGCUGAGACGCGAAAGCGUGGGGAGCGAACAGG
RNAcentral lists this ribosomal RNA (253 nucleotides) under uncultured bacterium. RNAcentral's name for it is "partial 16S ribosomal RNA". It matches the Rfam family "Bacterial small subunit ribosomal RNA", at positions 524 to 776 of the family's 1533-position model. The record is from RNAcentral.